Molecule: ribosomal RNA, 386 nt
Filed under: Meteusarcoides mutilatus
Lineage: Eukaryota; Metazoa; Arthropoda; Arachnida; Opiliones; Gonyleptidae
Description: partial small subunit ribosomal RNA
Source: RNAcentral
UAGAUACCCUAGUAUAAUAAUAAUUAUUUUUAAAGUAAAAAGUAUAUAUAGUGAAAUUUAAUAAUUUUGGCGGUUAAUUUUUUAUAUAUCAGAGGAGCUUGUUUGAGUUAAGAAUUUACACUUUAUAUCUUAUUAAAAAAUUUUUUAUUCAUCUCCGUUAUUAGAUUAUAGUUGAAAAAUUUAUAAAAAAAUAUUUCAGGUCAAGAUGUAAUAAUUUAUUAAUAAAGAUUAGCUACAUUUUAGUAUAUUUGGAUUUAAAAGAAAAGCAAAUUAUACUGAGAAAUUGAAUUUGAUUGUAAUAAUAAUUAGAGAUUUAUUUUGAACUAUCAAAAUUAAUGUUUAUAUUGCCCGUCAUUUCUGUUACUAAUAAGAAUAAGUCGUAACAA